AUUUUCAUCUGCCAGUGUUGCCAGGGCUAUUAUCGUAUACAUUUCUCUCCUCCACGGUGUCCUAACCUUAAGGUCAUCGACAAUGGCGAACUCUCUGCAACGUAUCUUGAAUCCAGCUCGUCGUGUAUAUGGAUCCACUUUGGUUCCAUUAUCGAGACCGUUCUCUACAGACUCCUUGGUUGAGAUCAAACCAGGGGAGAUCGGGAAGGUCUCUGGCAUCCCCGAAGAACACCUUCGAAGGAGGGUUGUAAUCCUUUCUCCUGCUCGGACUGCCACACAACAGGGUUCAGGAAAAGUUGGAAGCUGGAAGAUCAAUUUUAUGUCAACACAGAAAUGGGAAAAUCCAUUGAUGGGUUGGACAUCCACAGGGGACCCAUAUGCCAAUGUUGGCGAUGCUGCACUCAGUUUUGACAGUGAAGAAGCUGCCAAAGCAUUUGCUGAGAAACAUGGUUGGGAAUACACGGUUAAGAAGCACCAGACGCCACUGUUGAAGCUCCUGUAACGCAGGAUCCUCUACUCUGUUAUUCUGAUUGCAGGUUAGGGCUUAUGCAGACAACUUCAGGUGGAAGGGUCCUCCCAAAUCUGCAGAAAACUGAUUUUGGUUCACCCCCAAUCUUGUUUUCUCAAUCAAUAGGUACCAAUGGCAUAUGUUAUUGCUGCAAAGGCUUGCAUUUUCUUUGUUGCUUUCAACAAAGCAUACGUUGUUGUCUGAGAGAAAUACCAACUCUUAGAUUUCAAUAAAUUGUACUCAUCGAUCGAUGCUAUUCUUCUUUUUCAUUGCCUUUUCUUUGACCAUUUGUCAUGUUAUUGUUCUCUCAGAAGUUCUGAGUAAGACCUUGAUUUAUUUUUAGUGCAUCUUGCGGACUUAGCUAUGUAAUUUCUUGAGUUUGCAGUUAAUUUUUUUAAUGAUAUUUGAUACGAAAUACUUGGAGAGGAUU
Camellia sinensis is the source of this 938-nucleotide non-coding RNA. Lineage: Eukaryota; Viridiplantae; Streptophyta; Magnoliopsida; Ericales; Theaceae. The record is from RefSeq and is a predicted model, not a curated record.